This is a long non-coding RNA of Capra hircus (goat), 234 nucleotides long. RefSeq lists it as uncharacterized. The transcript is spliced from 3 exons. NCBI's taxonomy places the organism in Eukaryota, Metazoa, Chordata, Mammalia, Artiodactyla, Bovidae. The record is from RefSeq and is a predicted model, not a curated record.
CUAACCAGAUUUGAGUUAAUACAGCUAGUGUCUCCAGUGUGGCAAGAGUUGGCCUACUAUGAAGAAAACACACGGGACUUUCUCUUCCCUGAGCCACGGCUGACACCUUCGCACCCUGGGAUGUGUAGGGAGGUGCUCAUGAAGACAGUUGAAGGCUUCCCAGGCAUUGCUCCUAAAAUAGAGUUUUCUACAAGGACAGCCAUCAGAGAACGUGUGUUUCUCCAUAGAAACAGA